RNAcentral lists this ribosomal RNA (341 nucleotides) under uncultured bacterium. RNAcentral's name for it is "bacterial SSU rRNA". It matches the Rfam family "Bacterial small subunit ribosomal RNA", at positions 1166 to 1505 of the family's 1533-position model. The record is from RNAcentral.
GAGGAAGGUGAGGAUGACGUCAAGUCCUCAUGGCCCUUACGGGCUGGGCUACACACGUGCUACAAUGGCAGUGACAGAGGGAUGCGAGGGCGCGAGCCUUGGCAAAUCUCAAAAAGCUGUCUCAGUUCGGAUUGGGGUCUGCAACUCGACCCCAUGAAGUUGGAAUCGCUGGUAAUCGCAGAUCAGCACGCUGCGGUGAAUACGUUCCCGGGCCUUGUACACACCGCCCGUCACACCAUGGGAGUUGGCUUUACCUGAAGACGGUGCGUUAACCCGCAAGGGAGACAGCCGGCCACGGUAGGGUCAGCGACUGGGGUGAAGUCGUAACAAGGUAGCCGUAA